Molecule: ribosomal RNA, 465 nt
Filed under: uncultured bacterium
Lineage: Bacteria
Description: partial 16S ribosomal RNA
Rfam family: Bacterial small subunit ribosomal RNA
Source: RNAcentral
CCUACGGGAGGCUGCAGUAGGGAAUCUUCCACAAUGGGCGAAAGCCUGAUGGAGCAACGCCGCGUGGGUGAAGAAGGUCUUCGGAUCGUAAAACCCUGUUGUUAGAGAAGAAAGUGCGUGAGAGUAACUGUUCACGUUUCGACGGUAUCUACCCAGAAAGCAACGGCUAACUACGUGACAGAAGCCGCGGUAAUACGUAGGUGGCAAGCGUUAUCCGGAUUUAUUGGGCGUAAAGGGAACGCAGGCGGUCUUUUAAGUCGGAUGUGAAAGCCUUCGGCUUAACCGGAGUAGUGCAUUGGAAACUGGGAGACUGGAGUGCAGAAGAGGAGAGUGGAACUCCAUGUGUAGCGGUGAAAUGCGUAGAUAUAUGGAAGAACACCAGUGGCGAAAGCGGCUCUCUGGUCUGUAACUGACGCUGAGGUUCGAAAGCGUGGGUAGCAAACAGGAUUAGAUACCCGAGUAGUC